AUGCUUGUUGGUGGCUGGGGGAGUAUAAACCUUUACCAUUCUGUUUGGGAACUGCCUAUAAUGCAUGUAGUAUGGAAGAUACAGCCAUCUCAUAGUUAUUGCAUUGACAGUGAAAGUAUGCUGCUCAAAAUGUUACUCAAUCCCUAUCUCGUGGCCCCCCUGGACCUUCACCAACCUCAACUCCAACUCCAUAUAUUCCGUCUCGCGGAGAAAAAAAUCAGAGAGAAAGUUUCAUUGUGUUUUACGACACGGAGCCGCCGCCAAGCCCUAAUCUCUCUCGUAAGGGCUGAUCUGGAGUCCAUUCGGCGCUCCGGAGAGGGGGAUUCGUCCCCGUCGUCAUCAUCAACCAUCCUCCAUCACCAAUUUCAUGAUGCUCACCGCCGUGAGUGA
RNAcentral lists this ribosomal RNA (390 nucleotides) under Triticum aestivum (bread wheat). RNAcentral describes it as "partial small subunit ribosomal RNA". Lineage: Eukaryota; Viridiplantae; Streptophyta; Magnoliopsida; Poales; Poaceae. The record is from RNAcentral.